RNAcentral lists this ribosomal RNA (194 nucleotides) under uncultured Pantoea sp. Its description in RNAcentral is "partial 16S ribosomal RNA". It matches the Rfam family "Bacterial small subunit ribosomal RNA", at positions 338 to 524 of the family's 1533-position model. Lineage: Bacteria; Pseudomonadati; Pseudomonadota; Gammaproteobacteria; Enterobacterales; Erwiniaceae. The record is from RNAcentral.
CCUACGGGAGGCAGCAGUGGGGAAUAUUGCACAAUGGGCGCAAGCCUGAUGCAGCCAUGCCGCGUGUAUGAAGAAGGCCUUCGGGUUGUAAAGUACUUUCAGCGGGGAGGAAGGCGGUGAGGUUAAUAACCUCGCCGAUUGACGUUACCCGCAGAAGAAGCCCCGGCUAACUCCGUGCCAGCAGCCGCGGUAAU